GAUGAACGCUGGCGGCGUGCCUAAUACAUGCAAGUCGAGCGAACAGAUGAGGAGCUUGCUCCUCUGACGUUAGCGGCGGACGGGUGAGUAACACGUGGAUAACCUACCUAUAAGACUGGGAUAACUUCGGGAAACCGGAGCUAAUACCGGAUAAUAUAUUGAACCGCAUGGUUCAAUAGUGAAAGACGGUUUUGCUGUCACUUAUAGAUGGAUCCGCGCCGCAUUAGCUAGUUGGUAAGGUAACGGCUUACCAAGGCAACGAUGCGUAGCCGACCUGAGAGGGUGAUCGGCCACACUGGAACUGAGACACGGUCCAGACUCCUACGGGAGGCAGCAGUAGGGAAUCUUCCGCAAUGGGCGAAAGCUUGACGGAGCAACGCCGCGUGAGUGAUGAAGGUCUUCGGAUCGUAAAACUCUGUUAUUAGGGAAGAACAAAUGUGUAAGUAACUAUGCACGUCUUGACGGUACCUAACCAGAAAGCCACGGCUAACUACGUG
RNAcentral lists this ribosomal RNA (497 nucleotides) under uncultured bacterium. RNAcentral describes it as "partial 16S ribosomal RNA". It matches the Rfam family "Bacterial small subunit ribosomal RNA", at positions 28 to 507 of the family's 1533-position model. The record is from RNAcentral.